This 1432-nucleotide ribosomal RNA is filed under the name Enterobacter cloacae. RNAcentral's name for it is "partial 16S ribosomal RNA". It matches the Rfam family "Bacterial small subunit ribosomal RNA". The record is from RNAcentral. Lineage: Bacteria; Pseudomonadati; Pseudomonadota; Gammaproteobacteria; Enterobacterales; Enterobacteriaceae.
UACAUGUGGCUGCCGAGGCGCGCCUACCUGCAGUCGAACGGUACAGGAAGCCCUUGCUGCUUCGCUGACGAGUGGCGGACGGGUGAGUAAUGUCUGGGAAACUGCCUGAUGGAGGGGGAUAACUACUGGAAACGGUAGCUAAUACCGCAUAACGUCGCAAGACCAAAGAGGGGGACCUUCGGGCCUCUUGCCAUCAGAUGUGCCCAGUUGGUUAGUAUGGUGGGGGUAAGUCUACCGUAGGCGAUCGAUCCUAGCUGUCUGAGAGAUGAGCGCCACACUGGAACUGAGACUCGUCCAACUCUACUGGAGGCAGCAGUGGAAUAUUGCACUCAAUUGGCAGCAGCCUGAUGCAGCCAUUGCCGCGUGUAUGAGACUUCGGGUUGUAAAGUACUUUCAGCUGGGGAGGAAGCGAUUGUGGUUAAUAACGCGUCGAUUGACGUUACCCGCAGAAGAAGCACCGGCUAACUCCGUGCCAGCAGCCGCGGUAAUACGGAGGGUGCAGAGCGUUAAUCGGAAUUUACUGGGCGUAAAGCGCACGCAGGCGGUCUGUCAAGUCGGAUGUGAAAUCCCCGGGCUCAACCUGGGAACUGCAUCCGAAACUGGCAGCUUGAGUCUCGUAGAGGGGGGUAGAAUUCCAGGUGUAGCGGUGAAAUGCGUAGAGAUCUGGAGGAAUACCGGUGGCGAAGCGCCCCCUGGACGAAGACUGACGCUAGGUGCGAAAGCGUGGGGAGCAAACAGAUUAGAUACCCUGGUAUCCACGCCGUAAACGAUGUCGACUUGGAGUUGUGCCCUUGAGGCGUGGCUUCCGGAGCUAACGCGUUAAGUCACCGCCUGGGGAGUACGGCCGCAGUUAAAAACUCAAAUGAAUUGACGGGGGGCCCAGCACAAGCGGUGGAUGCAUGUUGUUUAAUUUCGAUGCAACGCGAAACCUCUACCUGGUCUUGACAUCCACAGAACUUUUGCAGAGAUGUUUGGUGCUUCAGGAACUAGUGAAGAACAGGUGCUGCAUGGGCUGUCGUCAGCUCGUGUUGAAAUGUUGGGUAAGUCCCCAACGAACCACCUUAUUCUUUGUGCCAGCGGUCCGGCCGGGUAACUCAAGGAAGACUUGCCAGUGAAUAAACUUGAGGGAAAGGGGUGGGGAAUGACGUCAAGUCAUUCUGGUCCUUACCAGAGCCAGGGCUACACACGUGCCUGACAAUGGCAUACAAAAGAAGCCUACUUCGCGAGCAACACCUCUAGGCGCGUAGUCCGGAUUGGAGUCUGCAACUCGACUCCAUGAAGUCGGAAUCGCUAGUAAUCGUGAAUCAGAAUGUCACGGUGAAUACGUUCCCGGGCCUUGUACACACCGCCCGUCACACCAUGGGAGUGGGUUGCAAAAGAAGUAGGUAGCUUAACCUUCGGGAGGGCGCUUACCACUUUUGAUUAAGGUGGU